Molecule: ribosomal RNA, 819 nt
Filed under: Bacillus spizizenii
Lineage: Bacteria; Bacillati; Bacillota; Bacilli; Caryophanales; Bacillaceae
Description: bacterial SSU rRNA
Rfam family: Bacterial small subunit ribosomal RNA
Source: RNAcentral
ACACGUGGGUAACCUGCCUGUAAGACUGGGAUAACUCCGGGAAACCGGGGCUAAUACCGGAUGCUUGUUUGAACCGCAUGGUUCAAACAUAAAAGGUGGCUUCGGCUACCACUUACAGAUGGACCCGCGGCGCAUUAGCUAGUUGGUGAGGUAAUGGCUCACCAAGGCGACGAUGCGUAGCCGACCUGAGAGGGUGAUCGGCCACACUGGGACUGAGACACGGCCCAGACUCCUACGGGAGGCAGCAGUAGGGAAUCUUCCGCAAUGGACGAAAGUCUGACGGAGCAACGCCGCGUGAGUGAUGAAGGUUUUCGGAUCGUAAAGCUCUGUUGUUAGGGAAGAACAAGUACCGUUCGAAUAGGGCGGUACCUUGACGGUACCUAACCAGAAAGCCACGGCUAACUACGUGCCAGCAGCCGCGGUAAUACGUAGGUGGCAAGCGUUGUCCGGAAUUAUUGGGCGUAAAGGGCUCGCAGGCGGUUUCUUAAGUCUGAUGUGAAAGCCCCCGGCUCAACCGGGGAGGGUCAUUGGAAACUGGGGAACUUGAGUGCAGAAGAGGAGAGUGGAAUUCCACGUGUAGCGGUGAAAUGCGUAGAGAUGUGGAGGAACACCAGUGGCGAAGGCGACUCUCUGGUCUGUAACUGACGCUGAGGAGCGAAAGCGUGGGGAGCGAACAGGAUUAGAUACCCUGGUAGUCCACGCCGUAAACGAUGAGUGCUAAGUGUUAGGGGGUUUCCGCCCCUUAGUGCUGCAGCUAACGCAUUAAGCACUCCGCCUGGGGAGUACGGGUCGCAAGACUGAAACUCAAAGGAAUUGACG